UGUACUUUAGAUGAAAAUUGCCUGGUCGCGAACUAAAGUUUAAACUUCCAAACGCAGCAGUUUGGCUUUAAAAAAGGGAAUUCCACGACAUUUUUAGUCAUUACGGGGCAAUACAUUUAUUUUUUCAUGCGAAAAAAGUGAGACAUAUUUGAGUUUGAGUUUAAAAAGAAGUGGAGACUCGUGGCGAAUAGUGGAAUGUGUCAAGAAAGGUUCAUUUACCUUGUGAAGAAAUGUAGCCGGGCGAGGCGCCUUGAAUGUAGGGCGACUUACAGAAAUACUUCCCAAAAGUCUUCCAGCAACUUUGCCGACUAUCCGCGUCGCAGCCAUCUUCAGACGCCACCCGUAUUAGGCAGUGUAUUUCAGACCAUUCUGGUCGACAACAAUCCUGUAUUUACGUUGCUCUGAACUCUGAAAAGUGGCUAACAAUGUGUAUAAAAAGGCAACAGAAGUAAGCGAAUCAAGUAGAGAUAUCUCGUCAACAGCGGGAUAGAAGGCACAGCCCAGUGUGAAGCGCAUUUCCUCUUUAGCCAGACCCCCGCCCUUUUUUUGCAUAAAACCACCUACAGGGGAGGCGAAAGAAAAAAAAACUAGAGACGGAGCUUCAAUGAUGUAAUUCCCAAAUCAACGGUGUGCUGAUUGCUAUAGCUGGCUAGCAGCUAGUUUGGAUACAGUUACACGCCUACACACCAAAGGAGUGAAGCCAGUGAGUGCAGAGUCAUCAAUACUCCCAGAGAGAAGACUGGGAGGGCCAAGGAAAAUGCUGGAUCCGAUCGAUAUGCUAUGGCAAGCAGUGGAGUUUGAUGCCGAGUAUCCCGCAGUGCCACGACGGCACAAUGGUCGUCUCGCAGCAUCAAAGGCCCGCUGGUGACAGAUGGUGGCCAGGGCAGGGCUGUAAUUUCUACAUCAAGGACGUUGUAGGGGAUGACGAGCAGGUGGAGCAGGAUGAAGCCGAGCGGGGGGAUGCAACCUGUGAACUCACCUG
Dunckerocampus dactyliophorus (ringed pipefish) is the source of this 982-nucleotide long non-coding RNA. RefSeq lists it as uncharacterized. The transcript is spliced from 4 exons. The record is from RefSeq and is a predicted model, not a curated record. NCBI's taxonomy places the organism in Eukaryota, Metazoa, Chordata, Actinopteri, Syngnathiformes, Syngnathidae.